This 230-nucleotide unclassified non-coding RNA is filed under the name uncultured Microbotryomycetes. Its description in RNAcentral is "sequence contains ITS2". Lineage: Eukaryota; Fungi; Basidiomycota; Microbotryomycetes. The record is from RNAcentral.
ACUCUUCAACCCUCCAUUUCCUUGUUUGAAAUGUUUUGAGGUGAUUGGAUUUUGAGUACUUGCUCUUUUAUCAAAAUUAGCUUACUCGUAAUACAUUAGCACAAUUCAACUUCGAACUCGGAUUGACUCGGCGUAAUAGACUAUUCGCUGAGGACAUUGAGAAUUAAUUUUCUCUAAUGGCCGACUUUAGACGAUUUGAAUAGCUUCAAAUACUAUAAACCUUUUUUAAG